CCGCAGUUCCCGUCCGACUGCAGAGCCGCCGCCUAGAGUCCGGCCCGCCGCGCCGCCCGCGCCGGUUCCUGGGACCCGGGCAGGGCCGCCUCCGAGGAGCGGGCCUCCACACACCCUGGCUGUCCGAGGAGAAACCUCGCGCUUCCUCGCCCCCUUCCGUGCCGAGAGCGAGACGUGGACAGGCGCCGCGUAGAUCCGGGGGAGGCUCCCAAUUGGAACCAGCCUUCUGGCUGCGCCACUGCCCUCUCCCGCCCCGAUGUCGGAAGAGCACCCCUGGCCCCUGGCCCCUCUUUCAGCCUCGAGCGCUGUGAAGGGCAGGCUCGCAGCCGCGGGGAGAGCUGAGGACAGGCCUCCACUGGUCUCAGGAUGAGCGAAGAGUUUCAUUUCAGCUCGGGGUUGUGAGGGCAUCCUGCGCGCAGUCCGCUCUCUGAUGUUGGGUGGGGCCCGUCUGCAAAGGUGAGGAUGGAUUGGAAAGGCCCGCGGGCUGCACCUUUGCACGUUUGGAGUCUUCUCUCGCCUCUGCCUGCUCUGCCUUUGUCCUCGGGGUUCUUGGAGGCCAGGCCCAAACGCACACUAGUUUCUCUGGUCUCACUUUCCCAGACUUCCUCUCACGGGCUUCUCCUCCACCACCCUCACCUCCCAAUAUCUUUUUGCAUUAGGGAUCCCACAGGACCCUGAAGGAAUGUCAAGGUGAGCCUCACCCCUUGCUCUUGGGAAAGCCAGAAUAAGAUUAGAUCCCCAUUUCCCGAUUCCCAUUAGAACCACCUUUCCAGACUCCCAGUCCAGCACUGUUUACAUUAAAGCAGUGGGUGUUCCCGGGAGCCCUAGCUCUGGAGCUACCCACUAAAAGAGGGUUUCAAUGCCAAAGGGGUUUGUCAAGGUGCUAUCUCGCCUUCUUGGAGAUUCACGAUGCUCAUUAGCAUAUCAAAGACUUUGAGAAGUCCCACUAUAAAAGAAGCCCAAGUAAUUUAGUUUACAGUGUUACCUGCCUCUGGACCUGGACCAAUUAGAUUUUGCCACCUAAGACUUCCAAGCAUCCCUGUGCUGGCUUGGCUGUCAUUCAUUCCUAAGGGAUCCAACUCAUUGGCUAUGGUAUGAUUGAAGAUCUGGAGUGCUCCUUCUCUUUCCCAGGGAAUUUCUCUAGCAGGGGGAGGGCUUGCCUCAGUGGGGGAGAAGAUAGCUGUCCCUGCCAGGCCCGCAAGAGACCUGGGAAUUGGUGGACCUGAACAUUCCUCUACAUUGUUUGAAAAAUGAAGUCAAGGUUAUCCAGAUGGCUUCCCAGUCAAAAGGAACAUUGCCUAUAUGAGAUGCUGGCAUUGACCGUGAGCAACUGGCAGGAGUGGGUCUCACUCAGUGAAGAGAGAAGAAAACUCCAAAGUUGGGGUGAACAGCUGGCCCAGCCUCUGUUAGGUUUCCACGUUGCUGAGGCCACGGAGAUUCCCGUAGCGGUCAUGCCGACCUCUCCCGGGGCUCGCUUCCCUUGGCAGGGGACAGCAUUCUGGGCUGGGCCAGCAGAGGGCUGCAGAGUGGGGAGAGUGGAUGACCUCUGCCCGGCAGCUUCCCUUCAACAUUGUCCAGUGGAAGAUCCAAGAUGCGUGAAGAUUCAUUUUACCGUCACACAAGAGAAAUUCUGAUUCUCCUUGUGCUGUGACUUGGGCCCAAGAUUCCAGACACAUGGAACUGAGCUAUGCACCUCCGUGCCUUAAACAGUGCGUUUUAGCUCCAGCUUUUGUUCCUUUUCUCUUUUUUCAGAUCACCAUUGAAGUUGCAUCCUCAGCUCAGAACCAGCCCCCUGAGGAUCUCUUCUUAACCCCCCCAGCUCAUGGUGCUCUGUCUGUGGUCAGGUGACCUUACUCAAGAGUAGAUGUCUCCUUGGCCUUCAUGGUACCUAUUCAUUCAGAUGUGCCUGAAUCAUUCCAGAGCUCACUGGCUCUUCUAAAUGUGCCUUCCUGCUUGGCCUCCGGCUGUUUCUCCAGAUGUGAAAAGGACAUGUAAAACAGCCCCCACACCCAUUCCCUCCUCCCCCUGUGACCCUGUACCAUAGGAAUGGCCACCUGACCUGGCCCAGAAUUUUUGAAUACUGGAGCCAGCCUCCUUGGCCUUCCUCAUUAGACUCCAGGACUCAGUCCAGCUUGAGACCACUGUGGACUCCUACCAGUCCAAAAGUCUAGGACCACUUGCAGAUCCAAGAGAGGAUUUUUCUAGUGUUCUACAAAGGCCAAAAGAGAGGGUGGGAGUGGGAGGGGUGUGGGCCAGUAGCGAGAGGGGACCGAUGUGCCUCAUUUAAUAGUUUAGUGGUGGUUACUAAUUUGCUUUUCGGAAUAAAGUUUGGUUUGUCUGA
Leptonychotes weddellii (Weddell seal) is the source of this 2341-nucleotide non-coding RNA. The record is from RefSeq and is a predicted model, not a curated record. Lineage: Eukaryota; Metazoa; Chordata; Mammalia; Carnivora; Phocidae.